CUCUCUCUUUAAAAUAAAAAUAAAAAAAUCUUUCAAACAAACAAAAAUACCUCCUACCUUUGCUUUAUAAACUUAAUUUCCUUCAGUGUUUGUUCUUCCACUGGCUCUGGUGUCUCUCAUGGGGUAGGCCUUCUUCAAAUAUUUUCUUCAUUCCUUUCUUCCCCUGAUGGUCAUCUUUCUGUUCUACUGUGCGUUUCUCUUCCUCUACUGGUAAGUUAACUUACUAAAGAAAAAAAAAAAAGUUUAGAACUGAUAUUAUCAGAGUCAAAAGUAAACCCAUCAUCUCCCACCUACUCAAGACCAGAGCUUUCACAUGGGUUCCAAGAUGCUUUUCUUUGAUUUUAAGAAUCUUCCAAAUCACUUGCAUCAGAUUUCACAACCACAUUUUCAUCAUUUAUUCAAAUGUCACUAAGUUGGUCUGGAUUUAUUGCUUACCACUAUUUCUUGCAUUUUCCUAAAAAAAAAAAAA
Mustela erminea (ermine) is the source of this 469-nucleotide long non-coding RNA. RefSeq lists it as uncharacterized. The record is from RefSeq and is a predicted model, not a curated record. The transcript is spliced from 2 exons. NCBI's taxonomy places the organism in Eukaryota, Metazoa, Chordata, Mammalia, Carnivora, Mustelidae.